GCAUCUGAAGACGUUUGACCGGGGAAUGGUCUGGAACACGGACCUGGUGGAGACCCUGGAGCUGCAGAACCUGAUGCUGUGUGCGCUGCAGACCGUCAGUGGAGCAGAGGCGUGGAAGGAGUCACGGGGCGCGCACGCCAGGGAAGACUACAAGGUGCGGAUCGAUGAGUACGAUCACUCCAAGCUCAUCCAGGGGCAACAGAAGAAGCCCUUUGAGGAGCACUGGAGGAAGCACACCCUGUCCUAUGUGGACGUCAGCACUGGGAAGCUUGCCUGUUCACUCUGGCUGGUCAUAUGCAGAAAACCGAAACUAGACCCCUUUCUGACACCUUAUAUAAAAAUUAACUCAAGAUGCAUUAAAGAUUUAAACGUGAGACCUAAAACCAGAAAAAUCCUAGAAGAAAACCUAGGCAAUACCAUUGAGGACAUAAGCAUGGGCAAAGACUUUCAUGACUAAAACACCAAAAGGAAUGGCAACAAAAGCCAAAAUUGACAAAAGGUUUCCUUAACGACAACAAAAAAGGGAGUAAUCCUACCUACUGUAAGAGUCAUGACUCUUGAUUGCAGCUGACAGAAACUCAUGACAGCCUGGUUUAGAUAAAGGGGGAGAGAAGGACUGGAAGAAUCUUGGAGUUGGGAAUGUCGCACGUAAUUGAAGGAAGAACAAGAAAACUAUAAUUCUUCCCCUGGAGGCUGGAGUUUCCAGGAUGUCAAAAUUACCUCUGCUUGGGUGAGCUAUUUCAAGCAGCUGGGAUACCUGUGUCACUCCUGCUGUCUGCCAGUGACUGCCCAGGUGUCUGCUGGUUCCUCCCCAGGAGUAGGGAGGAACCAGGUGGGCUGGCUGGGAUGGGUGGAUAUUUAAAGACCAGGCCUUGGACGCCGCAGCACUUCUAUCUCUGCUUGAUGCCUGCUGCCACGUGGCUGGUCCUCCUCCUCUUGCUGUGGCUGAGCCCUGGGGUGAAGACAGGCAGCUAUUCCCAACCCCAGAACCUUUGCUGUCUUGGAACAGAUCACCACUGCAAGAGGGGAAGUUGCUACUGUGAUGAAUUCUGCCAUGUGGUACCAGACUGCUACCCAGACCACAGUGUCCUCUGCAACCCUCCUUCUCAGAUGACCAAGAUGGUGCUGCAGAUGGUGCUGAGGAUGGAGAACCCACCAAGCCC
Molecule: long non-coding RNA, 1163 nt
Filed under: Pan troglodytes (chimpanzee)
Lineage: Eukaryota; Metazoa; Chordata; Mammalia; Primates; Hominidae
Description: lincRNA
Source: RNAcentral